CCUACGGGUGGCAGCAGUGAGGAAUAUUGGUCAAUGGCCGGAAGGCUGAACCAGCCAAGCCGCGUGAAGGACGAAGGUGCCAAGCAUUGUAAACUUCUUUUGUCAAGGGACAAAAUCAGGCACGAGAGCCUGACCGUGUGUACUUGAAGAAUAAGCAUCGGCUAACUCCGUGCCAGCAGCCGCGGUAAUACGGAGGAUGCGAGCGUUAUCCGGAUUUAUUGGGUUUAAAGGGUGCGUAGGGGGGGAAUUAAGUCAGCGGUUAAAGGUCGGGGCUCAACCCCGGGGGAGCCGUUGAAACUGGCUGUCUUGAGAUGUUGAGAGGUAGGCGGAAUGCGCGGUGUAGCGGUGAAAUGCUUAGAUAUUGCGCAGAACUCCGAUUGCGAAGGCAGCAUACC
RNAcentral lists this ribosomal RNA (395 nucleotides) under uncultured bacterium. RNAcentral's name for it is "partial 16S ribosomal RNA". It matches the Rfam family "Bacterial small subunit ribosomal RNA", at positions 338 to 730 of the family's 1533-position model. The record is from RNAcentral.